GGCUCACCUGUUCCCAUUCCGAACACAGAAGUUAAGCCCACCAGCGCCGAUGGUACUGCUAACGCGGGAGAGUAGGCCGCCGCCAGUU
This 88-nucleotide ribosomal RNA is filed under the name Chryseobacterium rhizosphaerae. The record is from RNAcentral. Lineage: Bacteria; Pseudomonadati; Bacteroidota; Flavobacteriia; Flavobacteriales; Weeksellaceae.